This is a long non-coding RNA of Micropterus dolomieu (smallmouth bass), 655 nucleotides long. RefSeq lists it as uncharacterized. The record is from RefSeq and is a predicted model, not a curated record. The transcript is spliced from 3 exons. NCBI's taxonomy places the organism in Eukaryota, Metazoa, Chordata, Actinopteri, Centrarchiformes, Centrarchidae.
UGGGCAUUUUGGCUGUUGGUGAUGGUGAUCCGGCGUUGUGGUGUGCUGAUGCGAGUGCUGUCACAGCUGUUAUGGCCUGCAGCGCAACAGUUUAACCGGUGGUUAAUACCCCUAAACCUGCAGCGUCGCCGGGCGGCGUCCUGUAUGCACGCGACAUUGCUCUCGGUCCGUGUGAGCGAAUCGUUGCUGUGCGGGCUGUCUCGAUCUGGCCUUUGGCUGGUUAUGUGUGUGCGCUGGGGAACCGUGGGGUGAUCUGCUGCACUGCGGCCUCGGCGGGGGUUUGAACGGCGGCUUGGUCUGUCUUUCUCGUGCCUUGGAUUUGGGUGUCGCUCUCUCUCCCCCUGUGGGAUUGCCCUCUGCCUGGUCGGCCCAGUUCCAGCUGUGUCUUGGCUCUAAGCGGGCUGCCGGUUUUAGCCUUUUUUUUUGUUGGUUGAGUCUAGUUAUUGUAUAUUUAGUUUAUACAGUUGGCAUUUUGUGGUGUGUGUUUUCAAUUUUAGUUGGUUUGAAUUAACUGAUCUGUACGUUUUGAUUCAUUUUGGUGUGUUUUGCUUUAUCCUUUUAGCCACUGUGUAUUUUAAAUAUUAUAUUGUAUAUUAAAUUAGGCCCAUACUUUUAAUUUUAUUCAGUAAUGGCAUGCCUUCUUAAUUAGUAUAUG